Molecule: ribosomal RNA, 368 nt
Filed under: uncultured organism
Description: bacterial SSU rRNA
Rfam family: Bacterial small subunit ribosomal RNA
Source: RNAcentral
CGGAGGAUCCAAGCGUUAUCCGGAUUUAUUGGGUUUAAAGGGUGCGUAGGCGGCCUGUUAAGUCAGGGGUGAAAGACGGUAGCUCAACUAUCGCAGUGCCCUUGAUACUGAUGGGCUUGAAUGGACUAGAGGUAGGCGGAAUGAGACAAGUAGCGGUGAAAUGCAUAGAUAUGUCUCAGAACACCGAUUGCGAAGGCAGCUUACUAUGGUCUUAUUGACGCUGAGGCACGAAAGCGUGGGGAUCAAACAGGAUUAGAUACCCUGGUAGUCCACGCCCUAAACGAUGAACACUCGCUGUUGGCGAUACACAGUCAGCGGCUAAGCGAAAGCGUUAAGUGUUCCACCUGGGGAGUACGCUCGCAAGAGUG